RNAcentral lists this ribosomal RNA (357 nucleotides) under Acanthamoeba genotype T4. RNAcentral's name for it is "SSU rRNA". The stretch from base 1 to 309 matches the Rfam family "Eukaryotic small subunit ribosomal RNA", at positions 811 to 1115 of the family's 1831-position model. The record is from RNAcentral. Lineage: Eukaryota; Discosea; Longamoebia; Acanthamoebidae.
GGAAUAGGACCCUGUCCUCCUAUUUUCAGUUGGUUUUGGCAGCGCGAGGACUAGGGUAAUGAUUAAUAGGGAUAGUUGGGGGCAUUAAUAUUUAAUUGUCAGAGGUGAAAUUCUUGGAUUUAUGAAAGAUUAACUUCUGCGAAAGCAUCUGCCAAGGAUGUUUUCAUUAAUCAAGAACGAAAGUUAGGGGAUCGAAGACGAUCAGAUACCGUCGUAGUCUUAACCAUAAACGAUGCCGACCAGCGAUUAGGAGACGUUGAAUACAAAACACCACCAUCGGCGCGGUCGUCCUUGGCGUGUCUCGGCUUCACGGCCGGGGCGCGCGAGGGCGGUUUAGCCCGGUGGCACCGGUGAAUG